CUAUUUACAAACAUGGCUUAGUGGGCACGGUGGUGAUGGUCAGCAGCUGCAGUUGAUUAUCUGAGUGGUCUUUUCCAACCUUAAUGAUCCUAUGACUGUCCUGUGACUCUGGAAAUAAAGGAUAAAUUGAGGCUGUUACAGUCAACUUGCAAAGGACCCUGCAGCACAAAUUCAUGCUCCUAAACAUAACCAGAUCCAGGUUAGUAAUUAGCACAAUUCACUGAGCAUCGUAGGUGCAUAGUGGGAGCUCUGAAACAACUACAGGAUCUGACAGCUCUCUGGUUUGCAGGCACAGCUGGAUUACUGCUCUGUGCCUUUGCUGGGGGUUCUGUUACUGCAAGAACUUUGGGAAUUGGGGCAAAAUCCUCAGAACUCAUCUUCUGCUUCAGAAGUGGGGACCCCAAAUUCAUAGAGGCAGCCCGGGGUCCACUCCAAUGUGAACACACAAAAGUCACUUUAUCAUCCUUGACUCACUUUCUCCUUCUCCGAAGUGGCAGCAGUGUUCCAGUGCCUCUGGGGGAUGACAAAUGUUCACAAAGGGCUUUAGGGCUCCUGAAUGGAUACAAUCCUUGCUGUGCCCCCCUGCUGUCACACUCAGGUCAGGAAGCAGGCAGGAGGAACAUUUUCAGCAUGGUUUUGGGGCUGACACUCAGCCUGGGGAGGUGCUACAUGCAGAACGUGAUAAAUCACAGCUUUUGCUGAACGCUGCCGGGGGAAAUCUGGAGCACUGUGUCCAAGCUUGUCAGGCUGUGAUACUUCAGGAAGGAACAGAGUCGUGUCUUCCAGGAGCCAGAACUCUCCCUCAAACAGGCAGCACAGGAUGAAUGGAGGGAAGAGGAGGCUGCCUAACUGCUGAAGGAGGAUUCCUGGAGUGAUCUAAUAGCAGAUGAAAGCAGCCAGGUAGGAGCUGCUGCUCCCCGGGAAAGAAUGGAUCUCACUGCUGGGGCUGUGGAUGUACUGAGGUCUCAUGGACAUUGUGUGCCUAUGGGAUGAGUGAAAUGGCAGGAGUUAAGGGGAAAAACAACAGCUCUGGACACCUGGUUUCCCCACCGCAGUGUGGAUUUGCCUCAGUAUAAGCUGUCUCUAUCUGCUGUAGGACUAUGGCACUACUGAGAGCAUCCUCUGUAUAUCAGAAGCUGUGUUGGCUACCACCCCUGCUGGAUGCUAUGGGCUGAAGGUUUCUGUUGGCUCUUUGUAGACCUGGGUCAGUUUCAGACUGUGACACUGUUAAAACAUGAUCCACUUGGGGUAUUCUGUGAUUCUCUGAUGGCUGGUAAAUUAAUCAACGACUGGUGGAGAUCCUGCUCCUUGUCUUCAUGGCUGCAGUGAUGCUCCAUGAUGGAGCCCACCUGCACUGCCAGCUGCAUGACCAAAAAGUGUCAGCUCCAAUGGGCCAUAAUGAACCUGUCCCCCAGCCCUCUGUGUCCCACAGGUCUGGGAAUGCACAGCCCACAAGCAGGGCCCUGUCUCAGUCUCCUGAUCUGAAGUCCUGAUUUAUGACACCAGCCCUGCCUGUCAACAGGUUGGUUCUGAUAGCAAGCAGCUAACAAGCUGCUCUGCAUGCUGAUUAAGCACGCUUGUCAGCCAGUGCCUGGGCGAUGACUAUCACAGCUACGCCAUGGUUGGGAUCACACCUCUUGAUCCACAACCCCCACAGAACCAAGGGAAUGCAGAGCUGUGACACGAAAGCACAUAUCUUGGUGCCAGCCCAAUCUGCAAAGCUAUUGUUCACAUCAUAGUGACCCACGGCAGCCCCCACAAAUGGGAAAAGCCCCAUCAGACAGUGUUCCUCCCACUGCUGCCCUGGCCCUGUUCCCCCCUACCAAGACAAGAAUGCAGCUUAGCAAAACCAAGGAGAGAACAAAGCAGAAAAGAGCAGUUUUGUAUUAUUUUUCUUUUCUUUUUCUGGGCCAUUUUGAAUUAAUUAAGGAAUGUGAUCUAAACUAUAAAUACUCUCCUUCACGUAU
Non-coding RNA from Coturnix japonica (Japanese quail), 1967 nucleotides. The record is from RefSeq and is a predicted model, not a curated record. Lineage: Eukaryota; Metazoa; Chordata; Aves; Galliformes; Phasianidae.